GCCAGGUGUGGUGGUGCGUGCCUAUAGUCCUAGCUACUCGGGAGGCUGAGGCAGGAGGAUCACCUGAGUCCAGGAGUUCUGGGCUGCAGUGCACUAUGCCGAUGGGGUGUCUGCACUAAGUUUGGCAUCAAUAUGGUGACCUCCCGGGAGCAGGGGACCACCAGGUUGCCUAAGGAGGGGUGAACCAGCCCAGGUCGGAAACGGAGCAGGUCAAAACUCCUGUGCUGAUCAGAAAUGGAAGAUGAAGUAGAGGAAUUAGAUCAAACAGUAAAAGAUCAUGAA
This 282-nucleotide signal recognition particle RNA is filed under the name Castor canadensis (American beaver). RNAcentral's name for it is "Metazoan signal recognition particle RNA (ENSCCNG00000004633.1)". It matches the Rfam family "Metazoan signal recognition particle RNA". Rfam says of the family: The signal recognition particle (SRP) is a universally conserved ribonucleoprotein. The record is from RNAcentral. Lineage: Eukaryota; Metazoa; Chordata; Mammalia; Rodentia; Castoridae.